This 253-nucleotide ribosomal RNA is filed under the name uncultured bacterium. RNAcentral's name for it is "partial 16S ribosomal RNA". It matches the Rfam family "Bacterial small subunit ribosomal RNA", at positions 524 to 776 of the family's 1533-position model. The record is from RNAcentral.
UACAGAGGUCCCAAGCGUUGUUCGGAUUCACUGGGCGUAAAGGGUGCGUAGGCGGUCGGGUAAGUCUGACGUGAAAUCUCCAAGCUCAACUUGGAAAUGGCGUCGGAUACUAUUCGGCUCGAGGAAUGGAGGGGAGACUGGAAUUCUCGGUGUAGCAGUGAAAUGCGUAGAUAUCGAGAGGAACACCAGUGGCGAAGGCGAGUCGCUGGACAUUUCCUGACGCUGAGGCACGAAAGCCAGGGGAGCAAACGGG